This 467-nucleotide ribosomal RNA is filed under the name uncultured bacterium. RNAcentral's name for it is "partial 16S ribosomal RNA". It matches the Rfam family "Bacterial small subunit ribosomal RNA", at positions 29 to 507 of the family's 1533-position model. The record is from RNAcentral.
ACGAACGCUGGCGGCGUGCUUAACACAUGCAAGUCGAACGGAAAGGCCCUGCUUUUGUGGGGUGCUCGAGUGGCGAACGGGUGAGUAACACGUGAGUAACCUUCCCUUGACUUUGGGGUAACUUCAGGAAACUGGGGCUAAUACCGGAUAGGAGCUCCUGCUGCCUGGUGGGGGGUGGAAAGUUUCGGCGGUUGGGGAUGGACUCGCGGCUUAUCAGCUUGUUGGUGGGGUAGUGGCUUACCAAGGCUUUGACGGGUAGCCGGCCUGAGAGGGUGACCGGCCACAUUGGGACUGAGAUACGGCCCAGACUCCUACGGGAGGCAGCAGUGGGGAAUAUUGCACAAUGGGCGGAAGCCUGAUGCAGCAACGCCGCGUGCGGGAUGACGGCCUUCGGGUUGUAAACCGCUUUCGCCUGUGACGAAGCGUGAGUGACGGUAAUGGGUAAAGAAGCACCGGCUAACUACGUG